RNAcentral lists this long non-coding RNA (209 nucleotides) under Chinchilla lanigera (long-tailed chinchilla). RNAcentral's name for it is "lncRNA (ENSCLAG00000023694.1)". Lineage: Eukaryota; Metazoa; Chordata; Mammalia; Rodentia; Chinchillidae. The record is from RNAcentral.
CAGGAAACCACGAAGAUGGGACAUUCUGGUGACAGUUCAGAAUCUCGGCCACCUGCUGUGCCUAACUGAUGUGUCAGAAGGGAACCAUGUUUCUUCCCAGGGUCUCCAGGUUGAAGCUACAUGCUGCACAGCAAGUAUAUGACUGUGGAGCACAUUCUCAGUGCAGCAACUUCACGACAGCACACCUAUCAAGCCAUCUGGAUUCCUCC